This 292-nucleotide ribosomal RNA is filed under the name uncultured bacterium. RNAcentral describes it as "partial 16S ribosomal RNA". It matches the Rfam family "Bacterial small subunit ribosomal RNA", at positions 505 to 796 of the family's 1533-position model. The record is from RNAcentral.
GUGCCAGCCGCCGCGGUAAUACGGGGGGAGCGAGCGUUAUUCGGAUUCACUGGGCGUAAAGGGUUCGUAGGCGGUCAAGUAAGUCAGGGGUGAAAUCUAACGGCUUAACCGUUAAACUGCCCUUGAAACCGCUUGACUUGAGGACAUGAGAGGAAAGCGGAAUUCUUGGUGUAGCGGUGAAAUGCGUGGAUAUCAAGAGGAACACCGGUGGCGAAGGCGGCUUUCUGGCAUGUUACUGACGCUGAGGAACGAAAGUCAGGGGAGCGAACGGGAUUAGAAACCCGAGUAGUCC